Molecule: transfer RNA, 92 nt
Filed under: Acrocarpospora corrugata
Lineage: Bacteria; Bacillati; Actinomycetota; Actinomycetes; Streptosporangiales; Streptosporangiaceae
Description: tRNA-Pro
Source: RNAcentral
UCCCGGGUGGGUACGGAUGCGUUUCCAGGUGCUUGGGCCGCUUGAAGCGUUUGACGUGGACGGCCGGUCGAUCGCGCUCGGCCCCCGGCGUC